This 839-nucleotide ribosomal RNA is filed under the name uncultured bacterium. RNAcentral describes it as "bacterial SSU rRNA". It matches the Rfam family "Bacterial small subunit ribosomal RNA", at positions 8 to 847 of the family's 1533-position model. The record is from RNAcentral.
AGAGUUUGAUCCUGGCUCAGGAUGAACGCUAGCGGCAGGCCUAAUACAUGCAAGUCGAACGAGAUUGUUUUAGCAAUAGAACAUGAAAGUGGCGCACGGGUGCGUAACACGUAUGCAAUCUACCUCUAAUAGGGAAAUAGCUUCGAGAAAUCGGAAUUAAUGUCCCAUAACAUAUUUUGAUGGCAUCAUUGGAAUAUCAAACCUCCGGGGAUUAGAGAUGAGCAUGCGCAACAUUAGCUAGUUGGUAAGGUAAUGGCUUACCAAGGCUACGAUGUUUAGGGGGUCUGAGAGGAUGAUCCCCCACACUGGUACUGAGACACGGACCAGACUCCUACGGGAGGCGGCAGUAGGGAAUAUUGGUCAAUGGAGGCAACUCUGAACCAGCCAUGCCGCGUGCAGGAUGACGGCCCUCUGGGUUGUAAACUGCUUUUAUACGGGAAGAAAAGAUACUACGUGUAGUAUAUUGACGGUACCGUAAGAAUAAGGAUCGGCUAACUCCGUGCCAGCAGCCGCGGUAAUACGGAGGAUCCAAGCGUUGUCCGGAUUUAUUGGGUUUAAAGGGUGCGUAGGCGGAUCUUUAAGUCAGUGGUGAAAGCCUGCAGCUCAACUGUAGAAUUGCCAUUGAAACUGAAGAUCUUGAAUUAGGUUAAAGUAGGCGGAAUGUAUCAUGUAGCGGUGAAAUGCUUAGAUAUGAUACAGAACACCGAUAGCGAAGGCAGCUUGCUGAACCUAUAUUGACGCUGAGGCACGAAAGCGCGGGGAGCGAACAGGAUUAGAUACCCUGGUAGUCCACGCCCUAAACGUUGAUUACUCGUUGUUGGCGAUAUACAGUCAGCGAC